AACUAACGCUGGCGGCGUGCCUAACACAUGCAAGUCGUACGAGAAAGUUGGCUUCGGCCGAUGAGUAAAGUGGCGCACGGGUGAGUAAUGCGUGGAUAAUCUGCCCUUUAGUUGGGAAUAACGUACCGAAAGGUGCGCUAAUACCUGAUAAUACUGCAUAACUACUGUUGUGUAGUCAAAGAAGGCCUCUGUUUACAAGCUUUUGCUGAAGGAUGAGUCCGCGUACCAUUAGCUGGUUGGUGGGGUAAUGGCCUACCAAGGCUACGAUGGUUAGCUGGUCUGAGAGGAUGAUCAGCCACACUGGAACCGAGACACGGUCCAGACUCCUACGGGAGGCAGCAGUGAGGAAUAUUGCGCAAUGGGGGCAACCCUGACGCAGCAACGCCGCGUGAGUGAGGAAGGUUUUCGGACCGUAAAGCUCUGUCGAGCGGGAAGAAAUGUAUCAUGGCUAAUAUCCAUGAUACUUGACGGUACCGCUAAAGGAAGCACC
This 490-nucleotide ribosomal RNA is filed under the name uncultured bacterium. RNAcentral's name for it is "bacterial SSU rRNA". It matches the Rfam family "Bacterial small subunit ribosomal RNA", at positions 29 to 494 of the family's 1533-position model. The record is from RNAcentral.